AGUUAUUGUUGUUAAUUUCUUACUGUGGUUAAUUUACAAGUUAAACUUUAUCAUAGUUAUGCGUGUAAAGACAGUCCCUAACUUCCAAUGGUUCUACUUACAAUUUUACUGACUUUAUGACAGUUCGAAGGCCAUACACAUGUACAAUACUCUCUCAUGAUGCUGGGUGGCAGCAGCAAGCCACAGCUCCCAGUCAGCCACUCAAUCAUGAGAGUAAACAACCAAUACUUUGCAGAGUACUGUGUUGCCAGAUCAUUUUGCCCAAAUGUGGGCUAAUGUAAGUGUUCUGAACACAUUUAAGGUAGGGUAGGCUAUGAAGUUUGGAGGAUGUAUAAUUGCAUUUUCAACUUAUGAUGGGUUUAUUGGGAAGUAACCCUGUUUUAAAUCGAGCAUCUGUACAGAAAACAACAGUACAUAUAGAGUUUAGUAGUAUCCAUGGUUUCAGGCAUCCACUGGGGGUCUUCAAAUGUAUGCCCUGCAAAUAAGGGGGGACUACUGUAAGGCAAGAAAAAUGAGUAAAUGAUAAAGUUUAGAAAUUAAGACUUUCUUUUAUUGGUAUCGACAAGAUUAUACUUAUAUAGAGAGAAAAUACAAAAUAACCCACAAACUAUUUGAAUAAAUAAUUGAAUUCAUAAAUGUCACUGGCUAUGAGGUCAAUGUACAAAAAGAUAUUGCAAUUCUAUGUACUAACAAAAAAAUUGAAAAA
Galeopterus variegatus (Sunda flying lemur) is the source of this 706-nucleotide long non-coding RNA. RefSeq lists it as uncharacterized. Lineage: Eukaryota; Metazoa; Chordata; Mammalia; Dermoptera; Cynocephalidae. The record is from RefSeq and is a predicted model, not a curated record. The transcript is spliced from 2 exons.